Long non-coding RNA from Choloepus didactylus (southern two-toed sloth), 4245 nucleotides. RefSeq lists it as uncharacterized. The transcript has 4 exons. The record is from RefSeq and is a predicted model, not a curated record. NCBI's taxonomy places the organism in Eukaryota, Metazoa, Chordata, Mammalia, Pilosa, Megalonychidae.
ACCUGUGCCUAGCGCUUCCCCUUCCCCCAACACACACUGAAGGCACGCUUUGGGGUUCACCGUCUCCACACAUCAGGUGGGUCUCUCUGCAUGGAAUUCCGACCUGAAAUUCCCACAAGCAAGCCAUGGCUGAAGGACCACCUCCUCCAGGAAGUCCCGUCCUGCAGGAGGAUCUGCUGAAGGCCUGAAUCAGCCCGACCUGCCCACUGGGGCCUUGUCCCCCCACGGGGCAGUGCCCUGGAUACAAACACUGGCAGAGGGAAAGUGCUGGCUGCACCCCAGACCCUGAGCCCUCGCAGCGGGGGUCCCUCACACGCCCCGCCACCUUCACCGCUGACCUCACGCUAUUUCCGGGUUAGUGAUGGUUCUUUCUUCCUCCAUUUGGAAGUGUACGUUGGAGGCUACUCGGGAGUUUGGGAUGGCCAAGCACCGACCUGGAAUUCUCGGAAUCUCGGGAAGCCCGGCAGCUAGUCGCAGCCCUGAUGUCUGGUUAAAGAAGCAGCCAGGCGAGGUGGGUUUGCUGUGCUGUGAUUUGUCACGUGCCCUGACCUGACCGGAAAGAGCGGGGGAACAUCAGGGCAGCUUCCACCUGGCUCUUGCCCUCUCAGAUCACCUGCUAUCCCUGGGAGAGGACCACGUAAGGAGGACCUGAGGCCUUCCCCCAAGAGCCAGCACCAACUUCCCGGCCAAUGGAUGAGCCAUGUUGGAAAUGGAAUCUCCAGCCCCAGCUGUGAUCUGACCUUCUGAGAGACUCCCGCCAGAACUGCCCAGCUGAGUUGCACCUGACAUUCUGACUCACAUAAAUGUGAAGAUAAUAAUGUUUACUGUUGUUUUAAGCUGCUGUGGUUUGGGUUGUUCUUGAUAAGAAACAGAUAACUAAUAUAGCAACUGUUACACCUUGAGUGAGGGACCUCGAAUAAAGAAACAAGAGGAAUUCAUGGGGCUCACAUAGUCCAGCCCAGUCCAGUUCCCUAGGGCUGGGGAUUCCACACUGGGUGUUGGGGCUAAAGCUUGGUUGUGACAAACAAGACUUAUUUGCCUUGAGUGUGUCCCCUCAACAUGCCUGCUUCCUAGAUUGCAUGGGCCCUUUGCUGGUCAAAGACAAAGGAAGCCAUGGUUCUUGCGGUCUUAUGGAUUCUCAUAAAAGUGUGACCAACCCCUGAUGUGUCUUAAACUGGAGGUUUCUCUCCUGCCCCAUUGGUCCAGAACUUGUCUUAGGCUGAGGUACUCAGAAGCAGACCCUGAGAAUAGAAUCUGAGUGUAAGUAGUUUCUUUGGGAGGUGAUAUUAGACAGCACUGAUAGGGCGUGGAGAAAUGAGUUGGAGAAGGGAAGGCAGCCAUAUAAGAUGUGUAAUGAACGAGUUGACGAGCAGCUGAGCUCAGUCAUGCUGGGGAGUCUGGGUGGCUGGGUGGCACACACCUCAGAGUUGUCUUGCCCAAGACAUGUGGGCCUAGCAUGGUCCAACAGCCAGCAAAGCCCUCAGGCAGGAAAAUGCCGUGGCGUGUCCAGGAACAGUGAGAGCUGAGGGAUAUGGGCAGGUUACUGGUAGCAUCUGCUACAGGCCUCCAUCUCAAGUCUGAAUUACAUAGCCUCCCAGCUAGUCUAUUCCCUUUGUUCUUUCACUCGGGCCGUCCGAUCUCUUCUCUACAUAGAAGCCCAGAGUAUACUAAAAUGCAGAUAUGAUCAAGCCACUCAUUUCUUACAGCAUUACUUUGGGAUUAAGUCCAUGCUCCUUAGCAUCAUCCCUGAUACAUAGAAACCAUUUGGUGAAUGUUAUCUUUUGUAUCAUUACUGUCAUCAUUGUCACCAUCACCACCACCCUCCUCCUCCUCCUCCUCCUCCUCAUCAUCAUCAUCAUCAUCAUCCCAUGUUCUUGACUUAGAGGAUCUCUCAUUCCAUCUCCUAUCCACCCAGGACAAUCUUUUUCAUGUUAAACUUCUCUGUAUCCCAUGUCUUUUGCACUCUUUUCUCUAUUCAAUCUCUGUCUCUCAUGCUUUGUUACGAAUUUUUUUUCUUAAACCCUCCAUCCAGUUCACUACAUUUUCACCUGAGUCUAAUUUGCAGUUAAAUGCAUACAUUGAGUUCUUAAUUUCAGUUAUUUCCCUUUACAUUUCUAGAAUUUCCAUUUUUAAAUAGCUAUUAGUUCUCUGCCCAAAAUUUAUAAUCUCUUAUCACCUUGUCUAUAGUAAAAGUAAUUAUUUAAAAAUAUAUGUCAGAUAUUGGGUCUGUUUCUAUUAUCUGUGGUUUCUCUUGCUUUUUCGUUGCUGUUUAUGUUGCUGUGACCUCUUGUGCUUGGUUAUUUUUUCACUGACAGGCAGACAUUGUGUGUGGAAAAUUGUAGAAAUAACAUGAGAACUAGGAUUGUUACCUCCCUGCAGAGGGGAUUUAUAUUUUCUUCUGGCAGUAAUUGAGGGACCCAGCAAUCUGGGAUCCCCUUGAUCCAGUUUUAGGGAUUGAAAUGAUUUGCAGUAGGUUUAGUUUGUGAGAGGUCAGGUCUACUUCCAGUUCACCCUUACUCUUAGAGCGUGUCCCUUCGGGGUCCCAACCAAAAGUUAGGGGCCCACCUUUUAUUGGGACCUGGACUCCAAUAUUUGUUGGUCUCAAAUAUUGACACGGUCUUGCAGUCAUGUCUUCCAGAAUUGGCAAUCACCUCUGGGCGAAAACCUGCCUUGAAUUUUUCUUGUCCUGGAUCUUGAGUCUAAUUCUUUUCUAAUUUGUUAGCUCACUCAUGCCUUAAGUCAGUUGAUUUUUCUCCAGUUCUUUCUAGUCAUUCUCAGUGGAUGUUUUACCAGUUUACUUAGCACACAAUUACUAGAAGCUGGGGUAACUACUUUACAUUUUUUAGUUCUUCUAGCAUAAACUUCCAUGUUUCUAAGUUAUAUGUUUGUAUUGCUUUUAACAUUUUAAGAAAUUAUUGCUGACUCUCACAACUCUUCUCUCCAAAUUUCCCCAUUCAAUCUUCUCAAUACAUAUGCAAAAAUUUAUCAGAAUGACGGUUUAGAAAUUACUGUGCCUAUUUAGAUAGUGUUCGCUGUUCAACCAAAUAAUGAACUCUAAUAUAUUCUCUCUUGUGCAGCUUUUUAUUUUUCCUGAAAUUAACAAUGGCUUCAUUUUAAAGUUUGGUUAAUUUUCCCUGUGACUACAAGCUAUUUUCCCCCUACAAGCCUUAACAAAUCUGUGAAAUGCCUUGCAGGCAGCCAGUGAGGCAGGGGAAAAUCCUUGGAGGCCAAGGGCAAAAGGUGUUUCAAGGAAAAGGGAUUCAUCAGUUGGGCUACAUACUAAUAAUUUGAUUAAGUGACAUGAGGACUGAGAAUUGCCCAUUGGAUUUGACAAAGUGGAAAUCAUUGCUGACAUUGACAAGAGUAGAGUGAGUGGUGGGGGCAAACAUCUAAUUGGAGGGGGCUUAAGUAGUAAUGGAAGAAGAAAAGCCAGAGACUGAGAACAUAGACAAUACUUUCAGGAGUUUUGCUCUAAAGGGAGUAGAGAAAUACGGUGAAGGCUGUGGGAUCAGGAAAGGGAUUUGUGACAGUCCGCCUCCCAGAUGGCCCCCAAUGAUCCCCAUUUCCUGCUUUUCACACCCUCAUAUAGUUCCCUCCCGUGUUGUACGUGAGGUGGUGUGUGUGUGGCCAAGAGAAGAUGGCAGAAGUGAUGUCACUCCCAACGAUAGGUUGCAAAAGACUGUGGCCUCCGUUUGGGUGCUCUCUUGCUUUCUCUCUCUCGGCCCACUUGCUCUGUGGGAAGCUGCGAUGCUGUGGAGAGGCCUGUGUGACGAGGAUCUGAAGCCUCCAGCCAACAGCCGAUGAGGACCUCAAGCCACAGCCAUGUGGACAGGCUUGGAGGCAGAUCCUCCGGCCCCAGUGGAGUCUUGAGGUGACCACAGCCCUGGCCGACAGCUUAACUGCACCCUCGCAAGUGACCCUGAGAGAGAACCACCCAGAUAAGCCAUUCCCAGAUUCCUGACUCUCAGAAACUAGGUGAGAUAAUACAUGCUCAUUGCUUUAAGCUGCUGUUUUUUGGGUUGCAAAAAUUUGUCAUGCAGCAAUAUAACUAAUAUGGAUUUUUUUUUAAUAUAGGAGAAAGAAUAGCAUGUUUGUUGUUCAAAUGGAAUAAUCUGGUAGUGAGGAAAAAGUUGAUGUAGAAGAGAGAGAGAGAAUUUCCAGAGUGAUCUUCUUAAGUAGCAGAUAUAGAUGUCAUUAUGAUGGAGACCUACAGAGUUCUUUGCCAAGUGACCUGAUUGAGGCCCC